This 489-nucleotide ribosomal RNA is filed under the name Triticum aestivum (bread wheat). RNAcentral's name for it is "partial small subunit ribosomal RNA". Lineage: Eukaryota; Viridiplantae; Streptophyta; Magnoliopsida; Poales; Poaceae. The record is from RNAcentral.
AUGCACCCAAACCUUUCCAAUGGAUUUGGAAAUCGUGCACCCUGCCUAAGAAAAAAAUUCUUUUUUUGGCUACUCUUACAAGAUAGGUUCAAUACUAGAGAUCUGGUUACCAGGAAGAGCUUUCACAUACAAACCACCAGAUGUGUUCUCUAUGAAGAUGAUCCAAAUGAACAUCUAAUGCACCUCUUCUUCAGCUAUGAUUUUAGUCAUAAUUUCUGGAUGAAUAUUGGCUUCCAAUGGAACACAGAUUAUGACUUAUUGGAGAUGUUAAUGGGUGCUAGAAGGCAGAACAACACAUCAUGUUUCAAAGAAUGCCUCAUUGCUGGAUGUUGGAGUCUGUGGAAACAUAGAAACGAUAUCAUUUUUUAUCACAAGGAAAGGAACAUGGCAUAUUGCAUCAACACUUUCAAGGAACACUUCAGUAUGAUUAUCAAAAAAGCUAAGCCAAGUCUGAAAGAAGGCAUGCAGAGUUGGUUGGAUUACUUGUAA